AUGAAACAUAAAAAGGCACCUGGACCAAAUAGAUUCCCUGCAGAAUUCUACAAUAAAUGUUGGCACAUCAUAAUUGGUGACCUCAUUCCGAUGUUCCAUGAAUUCUUUAAUGGACACCUACAGUUUUUCCACCUUAACUUUGGAACAAAAACGUUGAUACCAAAGGAGGAGGAGGCAGUGCGUAUUGAGCAGUUUAGGCCUAUAUGUCUUUUAAAUGUGAGUUUCGAAAUUUUUACGAAAGUAGGCACGAAUAGAUUGACACGGAUUGCCCAUUUGGUGGUACAACUGAGUCAGAUGGCAUUCAUGUCAGGGAGACAUAUCCUUGAAGGGGUUAUUAUACACGAAACUCUACAUGAAAUCCAUUCGAAGAAACUAGAUGGGGUGAUCUUCAAGGUGGAUUUUGAGAAAACGUACGAUAAGGUCAAAGGGUCCUUUCUCCAACAGGCAAUGCGCAUGAAGGGGUUCAAAUGA
Molecule: ribosomal RNA, 471 nt
Filed under: Triticum aestivum (bread wheat)
Lineage: Eukaryota; Viridiplantae; Streptophyta; Magnoliopsida; Poales; Poaceae
Description: partial small subunit ribosomal RNA
Source: RNAcentral